UGAGGAAUAUUGGGCAAUGGGCGCAAGCCUGACCCAGCCAUGCCGCGUGAAGGAUGAAUGCCCUAUGGGUUGUAAACUUCUUUUUUACGGGAAGAAACUCUCGGACGUGUCCGGGAUUGACGGUACCGUAUGAAUAAGCAUCGGCUAACUCCGUGCCAGCAGCCGCGGUAAUACGGAGGAUGCAAGCGUUAUCCGGAUUUAUUGGGUUUAAAGGGUGCGUAGGCGGAAUAAUAAGUCAGUGGUGAAAGCCCUGUAGCUUAACUAUAGAAUUGCCAUUGAUACUGUCAUUCUUGAGUACAGUUGAGGUAGCGGAAUGUGUAAUGUAGCGGUGAAAUGCUUAGAUAUUACACAGAACACCGAUUGCGAAGGCAGCUUACUAAGCUGGUACUGACGCUGAGGCACGAAAGCGUGGGGAGCAAACAGGAUUAGAUACCCUGGUAGUCCACGCUGUAAACGAUGA
RNAcentral lists this ribosomal RNA (460 nucleotides) under uncultured Bacteroidota bacterium. RNAcentral describes it as "bacterial SSU rRNA". It matches the Rfam family "Bacterial small subunit ribosomal RNA", at positions 355 to 812 of the family's 1533-position model. The record is from RNAcentral. Lineage: Bacteria; Pseudomonadati; Bacteroidota.